CUAACACACGCAAGUCGAGCGGAAACGACACUAACAAUCCUUCGGGUGCGUUAAUGGGCGUCGAGCGGCGGACGGGUGAGUAAUGCCUAGGAAAUUGCCUUGAUGUGGGGGAUAACCAUUGGAAACGAUGGCUAAUACCGCAUGAUGCCUACGGGCCAAAGAGGGGGACCUUCGGGCCUCUCGCGUCAAGAUAUGCCUAGGUGGGAUUAGCUAGUUGGUGAGGUAAUGGCUCACCAAGGCGACGAUCCCUAGCUGGUCUGAGAGGAUGAUCAGCCACACUGGAACUGAGACACGGUCCAGACUCCUACGGGAGGCAGCAGUGGGGAAUAUUGCACAAUGGGCGAAAGCCUGAUGCAGCCAUGCCGCGUGUAUGAAGAAGGCCUUCGGGUUGUAAAGUACUUUCAGUUGUGAGGAAGGGUGUGUAGUUAAUAGCUGCGCAUCUUGACGUUAGCAACAGAAGAAGCACCGGCUAACUCCGUGCCAGCAGCCGCGGUAAUACGGAGGGUGCGAGCGUUAAUCGGAAUUACUGGGCGUAAAGCGCAUGCAGGUGGUUCAUUAAGUCAGAUGUGAAAGCCCGGGGCUCAACCUCGGAACUGCAUUUGAAACUGGUGAACUAGAGUACUGUAGAGGGGGGUAGAAUUUCAGGUGUAGCGGUGAAAUGCGUAGAGAUCUGAAGGAAUACCAGUGGCGAAGGCGGCCCCUGGACAGAUACUGACACUCAAUGCGAAAGCCUGGGGAGCAAACAGGAU
RNAcentral lists this ribosomal RNA (749 nucleotides) under Vibrio sp. CCH-27. RNAcentral describes it as "bacterial SSU rRNA". It matches the Rfam family "Bacterial small subunit ribosomal RNA", at positions 48 to 778 of the family's 1533-position model. Lineage: Bacteria; Pseudomonadati; Pseudomonadota; Gammaproteobacteria; Vibrionales; Vibrionaceae. The record is from RNAcentral.